Molecule: long non-coding RNA, 179 nt
Organism: Coffea arabica (coffee)
Lineage: Eukaryota; Viridiplantae; Streptophyta; Magnoliopsida; Gentianales; Rubiaceae
Source: RefSeq, a predicted model, not a curated record
UCAGGUGAAAUCUGGAACUCUAUUUGACAAUGUAUUGGUAUCUGAUGAUCCUGAAUAUGCUAAGAAGUUGGCUGAAGAGACAUGGGGCAAGCAUAAGGAUGCUGAAAAAGCUGCUUUUGAUGAGGCAGAAAAGAAGAGAGAGGAGGAGGAAGCAAAGGAUGACCCAGUCGAUUCUUAUA